CCUACGGGAGGCAGCAGUGGGGAAUUUUGGACAAUGGGCGCAAGCCUGAUCCAGCCAUGCCGCGUGCGGGAAGAAGGCCUUCGGGUUGUAAACCGCUUUUGUCAGGGAAGAAAUCCUUUGGGCUAAUACCUCGGAGGGAUGACGGUACCUGAAGAAUAAGCACCGGCUAACUACGUGCCAGCAGCCGCGGUAAUACGUAGGGUGCGAGCGUUAAUCGGAAUUACUGGGCGUAAAGCGUGCGCAGGCGGUUAUGCAAGACAGAUGUGAAAUCCCCGGGCUUAACCUGGGAACUGCAUUUGUGACUGCAUAGCUCGAGUACGGCAGAGGGGGAUGGAAUUCCGCGUGUAGCAGUGAAAUGCGUAGAUAUGCGGAGGAACACCGAUGGCGAAGGCAAUCCCCUGGGCCUGUACUGACGCUCAUGCACGAAAGCGUGGGGAGCAAACAGGAUUAGAUACCCUGGUAGUCCACGCCCUAAACGAUGUCAACUGGUUGUUGGACGGCUUGCUGUUCAGUAACGAAGCUAACGCGUGAAGUUGACCGCCUGGGGAAGUACGGCCGCAAGGUUGAAACUUAAAUGAAUUGACCGGNGNGAGAGNGCGAGACGACGACGAGGGAGAGG
This 619-nucleotide ribosomal RNA is filed under the name uncultured bacterium. RNAcentral's name for it is "bacterial SSU rRNA". It matches the Rfam family "Bacterial small subunit ribosomal RNA", at positions 338 to 950 of the family's 1533-position model. The record is from RNAcentral.